Molecule: long non-coding RNA, 1008 nt
Organism: Zophobas morio
Lineage: Eukaryota; Metazoa; Arthropoda; Insecta; Coleoptera; Tenebrionidae
Exons: 2
Source: RefSeq, a predicted model, not a curated record
UUCGUAAAUUCAGUUUCUGUUAAGACUUCACUGUUCAUGGUUCUGAUACAAUUUUAUAACAAUCAUGUAAAUGUUUAUUUAAAAAAACACGUGACGGAAAUUCUGUUCUCCAGGUUAAUUUAUUUUUAAUAACAACGAUAUCCAAAAGUGCUGGAUGUUUUUACUUAAGUGUUACACAUAUCCACAUUUCAUAAAGUUCUCACUCGAGCUUUAUCACAGUGCAUUUACGGCAUUUAAACUAAUCGUAAAUACUGAUCCACUUUGAGAGCAAAGACCUUGAAAAUCAGUCAAAUUAAUAACAUUGUUGACCGGGGGUUGUGUGGUUUAAUUUGUGCUUGUUUUUUUUUUUUGAUGUUGCGAUAACCCAAAUAUUCCGCCAAAACUGAGACAUGCGUACAAAAAUUUGAAAAACCGCGAAACUUUAAAAAUUGGUCAUGAGGUGUAAACCUCUACAAAAUGGAGCCCUACGUUGUUUUUGAAAUGGCGGAAUGCGUUCUAAUGCAAAGUGGCGAAUUAUAAAGGUGGAAAAGUGCCCCUGAAUUAAAAAUCAUAAAUAUGGAAGUAACAUCUUUCUUAAUUUUAUUAAAGGGCUGUCUAAAUUGAUCUUGUGGUUGCUCUCUAUAGGAAGGAAAAUUACGAAAUGGGUGAAAACAUGAAAGCAUGAAGAGUUGUCUACAUUAUUAAGAGGAUUCUAUAAGACUAAUUGUGUUUAAACUUGUAUUAAAUAACUUACACGUUCGCAUUGGAGGCCAUUCCUGGUACAGUAAUGGGGGUUAGUUUAGCUUCUUCAGGUACUUUGACAGUUAGAGUCGACCUGGGACCAGUUUUCCAAGUGUUGCUAUCUUCAUCUACUACUGACGCCUCAACAACUAAUAAAUACUGACCUCCUUUUGGAAAUGCAAGAAGAAACUGUGCUGUGAAAAAGUCUUUAUGAGGAGUUACUGCUUGAGUUAAUACUGAACUUUGCUCUGUAUUCUGAAAACAAUAAAUUACACAACUUCACUGUUA